This 492-nucleotide ribosomal RNA is filed under the name uncultured bacterium. Its description in RNAcentral is "partial 16S ribosomal RNA". It matches the Rfam family "Bacterial small subunit ribosomal RNA", at positions 29 to 507 of the family's 1533-position model. The record is from RNAcentral.
AGUGAACGCUGGCGGUAGGCCUAACACAUGCAAGUCGAACGGCAGCACAGUAAGAGCUUGCUCUUACGGGUGGCGAGUGGCUGACGGGUGAGGAAUACAUCGGAAUCUACUUUUUCGUGGGGGAUAACGUAGGGAAACUUACGCUAAUACCGCAUACGACCUACGGGUGAAAGCAGGGGAUCUUCGGACCUUGCGCGAUUGAAUGAGCCGAUGUCGGAUUAGCUAGUUGGCGGGGUAAAGGCCCACCAAGGCGACGAUCCGUAGCUGGUCUGAGAGGAUGAUCAGCCACACUGGAACUGAGACACGGUCCAGACUCCUACGGGAGGCAGCAGUGGGGAAUAUUGGACAAUGGGCGCAAGCCUGAUCCAGCCAUACCGCGUGGGUGAAGAAGGUCUUCGGGUUGUAAAGUCCUUUUGUUGGGAAAGAAAAGCAGCAGGUUAAUACCCCGCUGUUCUGACGGUACCCAAAGAAUAAGCACCGGCUAACUUCGUG